UCAACACACGCCUCUCUCUGUGGUUCCGCUCCCUCCUCCAUAUCUGCACGCCGCUCCUCUUCCAUGGCGCAAGGCUGCCGGGCCUCCGUCGCCGACUACCAUGUCGCCGGCAACAGGAGUGCGUUCCCGCACGCGCCCUGCGCCUGUACGGUGGCCGGCUACCUCUUCGUCGCCUCGCGUCUGCGUGCCGGAGCCCGAGGGGCGCCUCCUUCUCGCCGCGGAGGAGGCAGACAGCGGGAGCGGCCAAAGAGCUCCAUGCCCACCUGACACGAUGGGCGAUCCGGCAGCGGCGGAUCUCCUCUCCACCCGGCGGCCACCCAGCGACCCCGCGACCAACGUGGUCCUCACCCCGCCCCCUCUCAACUCCCGUAGGUGCUCCAUGUCUGCAGCUUCUAGGUGGCGAUAUGCACGACAAGUCAUACAUGCAGGUGAAUGAUUUAUGCUCGAGGUGGGUUGUUCUUUAAUCGACUGAUCGGGAUGGGACUGGAGCUUGUCUACUGAAAGUUGGCACUCAUUACAUGCUUACCUGCAGUGCACAUGGUCGAUGUUUUGCCUGAUAGAGCAUGCUUGAUUACUUUAUAGUUAGUUUCCUUCAUGAUUUGCUUUGUAUUGCCACAAAGAUGUUUGGGGGUUGAUUUGUCCUAAUUUUGUGGCAGAUUUUCGGUUAAGCAUAAUCCAGUUAAGCAAACCCUUGCUGCUCCGUGGUGUAUGCUUGUGCUGAUGUGCUCUACCACUACUAGUGUAUAUUCAGAGCACAUGUCAAUUUGUCUCAGAUAUGUUCCUUAAAUUAAAAUGGGAGCCAAACUUGGUGUAACAGCUUAUCUAACAUUGAAUAAAGAAACAUUAAAUCUGAUUGUGAAAUCUUACAAGAGGUAGCUUUAUUCAGAGUUUACAAGUGUUCAUUUCCCUAAGUUAAAAACUGAAACAUUUGGCUUUAUAGGUUGGUUGAUCACUUAAUUGUAUAUUCAAAUGGUGCUAAUUGUGUUCGUCAGUUUUUCUGAAUGUAAUUAUUAUGUUAAUCUCUGAUAUGCAUAGAAGCUGAUCUGAACUCAUGAUCUUUAAUUUAAAUCACUCUUGACCUCUUGUUGCUUAGAAUUAAUUUUAUGCGAAGUGUCAAUUUAAUCUUUGCCUAGUGUUUUGGUUAGUGGUACUGCAGCACGGUUCUUUUGCAUUCCUUUGCUCCGAUCUAGUGUAGUGUUGUCCUCAAUUCUUUUUUUCACAGUGUACUUCUAAUUGUAUAUCCACUGAUUUGCAUCUCAGAAUUUGUAGUCUACCAACCACAUCUAUUGGUAUCUCAAGCAUGCUUAUUGCCACAUCUGCCUAGCACAGAUUUGCCCAACUGCCCCUCCUCCCUGACGGCGAUGACGAGGAGCGCCGGCCCCGAGCGUCGAGGACACCACGGCUGCGGCAGGGUGCCCCGGCAGAUACGCAAGCAAGGAAGGAUGCGAGAGACUGAGCAUCAUGACCCAAAAGAUGGUACACUUCUAUAAAAAAAAUGGUUGUAGCAAGGGGAGUUUGUGGUUAAUAUGACUUCAGCUGAUAUUUCAGAGAACAAGUGUAAUCAGCUACUGUGAUGUGCUUCUGAAUGUAACCUGAGAUGUUGAAUCUUUUAUUUUUUGAGAUUAUGAUAUACUAGAUCUAAUAUGCUGUAAAUCUGAUAAAUGUGCUGAAAACUUACCAUAUCAUUUGGGCUGAAAUGUUGUUAUGAUGAA
Molecule: RNA transcript, 1712 nt
Organism: Panicum virgatum (switchgrass)
Lineage: Eukaryota; Viridiplantae; Streptophyta; Magnoliopsida; Poales; Poaceae
Exons: 3
Source: RefSeq, a predicted model, not a curated record